AACUUCUAAACAACGUCGGUUCCAAAUAAAUGAGAGCCGUAUUACAGAACAUAUAGACGGCGUUGAUUAUGAUGAGAGCCGUAUUACAAAUAACGUCGUUUAAUUGAUAUUAGAUGGCGGUUAUAAUGAAUUACCGUCGGAAUUCAUUUCGUUCCUCUUCGUUUAUAAAAGAACUUGCGACGUGGAAAAUGUAUGAUGACGUCGUAUUUUUUAACGUUC
This 219-nucleotide long non-coding RNA is filed under the name Prunus persica (peach). RNAcentral's name for it is "long non-coding RNA (PPER_LNC006229)". The record is from RNAcentral. Lineage: Eukaryota; Viridiplantae; Streptophyta; Magnoliopsida; Rosales; Rosaceae.